Molecule: non-coding RNA, 130 nt
Filed under: Linnemannia elongata AG-77
Lineage: Eukaryota; Fungi; Mortierellomycota; Mortierellomycetes; Mortierellales; Mortierellaceae
Description: Mortierella elongata AG-77 Eukaryotic large subunit ribosomal RNA
Rfam family: Eukaryotic large subunit ribosomal RNA
Source: Rfam by way of RNAcentral
GAUAACUGCCUUGUGGCAGCCAAGCGUUCAUAGCGACGUUGCUUUUUGAUCCUUCGAUGUCGGCUCUUUCUCUCCUUGAUUCAUUAAAAUUCGAAGUCGCGCUGUGAUUAUUCGUUCAGUCGAACAGGUA